This 835-nucleotide ribosomal RNA is filed under the name uncultured archaeon. RNAcentral describes it as "bacterial SSU rRNA". It matches the Rfam family "Archaeal small subunit ribosomal RNA", at positions 85 to 1292 of the family's 1478-position model. The record is from RNAcentral.
ACUGCUCAGUAACACGUGGACAACCUACCCUUAGGCCUGGGAUAAACCUGGGAAACUGGGUAUAAUACCGGAUAGGUCUCGAAUGCUGGAAUGCAUCGAGGCUUAAAGCUCCGGCGCCUAAGGAUGGGUCUGCGGCCUAUCAGGGUAGUAGUGGGUGUAAUGUACCUACUAGCCUACGACGGGUACGGGUCGUGAGAGCGAGAGCCCGGAGAUGGAUUCUGAGACACGAAUCCAGGCCCUACGGGGUGCAGCAGGCGCGAAAACUUUACAAUGCUGGAAACAGCGAUAGGGGGACUUUGAGUGCCAGGAUACAAUUCUGGCUGUCGUCGUGCCUAAAAAGCACGGCAUAGCAAGGGCCGGGCAAGACCGGUGCCAGCCGCCGCGGUAACACCGGCGGCUCGAGUGGUAACCGCUAUUAUUGGGUCUAAAGGGUCUGUAGCCGGCCUGGUAAGUCUUUUGGGAAAUCCGGCAGCUCAACUGUCGGGCUAUCAGAGGAUACUGCUAGGCUCGAGACCGGGAGAGGUGAGAGGUACUUCAUGGGUAGGGGUGAAAUCUUGUAAUCCUUGAAGGACCACCAGUGGCGAAGGCGUCUCACCAGAACGGAUCUGACGGCAAGGGACGAAAGCUAGGGGCACGAACCGGAUUAGAUACCCGGGUAGUCCUAGCCGUAAACGAUACUCGCUAGGUGUCGGCCACGGUGCGACCGUGGUCGGUGCCGUAGGGAAGCCGUGAAGCGAGCCACCUGGGAAGUACGGCCGCAAGGCUGAAACUUAAAGGAAUUGGCGGGGGAGCACAUACUGCUCAGUAACACGUAUAGGAAUUGGCGGGGGAGCAC